ACGAACGCUGGCGGCGUGCUUAACACAGUGCAAGGUGGAGCGACGAACCGGGGCUUGCCCGGGGCAGAGCCGCGAACGGGUGAGUAACACGUGGGUAACCUGCCUCAAUGAUUGGGACAACCCGGGGAAACUCGGGCUAAUACCAAAUGUGUUCACUCCUUCUAAGGGGAGGUGAGGAAGGAAGCUUCGGCCUCCGCAUUGAGAUGGGCCCGCGGCCCAUUAGCUUGUUGGUGAGGUAACGGCUCACCAAGGCUUCGAUGGGUAGCUGGUCUGAGAGGACGAUCAGCCACACUGGGACUGAGACACGGCCCAGACUCCUACGGGAGGCAGCAGUGGGGAAUCUUGCACAAUGCGCGAAAGCGUGAUGCAGCAACGCCGCGUGGGGAAGACGGCCUUCGGGUUGUAAACCCCUUUCAGUUGGGACGAAGCUUCGUCGGUGAAUAGCCGGUUGGAGUGACGGUACCUUCAGAAGAAGCCCCGGCUAACUACGUG
This 492-nucleotide ribosomal RNA is filed under the name uncultured bacterium. Its description in RNAcentral is "bacterial SSU rRNA". It matches the Rfam family "Bacterial small subunit ribosomal RNA", at positions 29 to 507 of the family's 1533-position model. The record is from RNAcentral.